Molecule: ribosomal RNA, 253 nt
Filed under: uncultured bacterium
Lineage: Bacteria
Description: partial 16S ribosomal RNA
Rfam family: Bacterial small subunit ribosomal RNA
Source: RNAcentral
UACAGAGGUCUCAAGCGUUGUUCGGAUUCAUUGGGCGUAAAGGGUGCGUAGGCGGCGCGCUAAGUCAGGUGUGAAAUUUCGGAGCUUAACUCCGAAACUGCAUUUGAUACUGGCGUGCUUGAGGACUGGAGAGGAGACUGGAAUUCAUGGUGUAGCAGUGAAAUGCGUAGAGAUCAUGAGGAAGACCAGUGGCGAAGGCGGGUCUCUGGACAGUUCCUGACGCUGAGGCACGAAGGCCAGGGGAGCAAACGGG